GGCGCUAUCGUCUAGUGGUUAGGACGCGUGGUUCUCAGCCAUGUAACCGGGGUUCGAUCCCCCGUAGCGCUACCA
RNAcentral lists this transfer RNA (75 nucleotides) under Chitinivibrionales bacterium. RNAcentral describes it as "tRNA-Glu". It matches the Rfam family "tRNA". From Rfam's summary of the family: Transfer RNA (tRNA) molecules are approximately 80 nucleotides in length. Their secondary structure includes four short double-helical elements and three loops (D, anti-codon, and T loops). The record is from RNAcentral. Lineage: Bacteria; Pseudomonadati; Fibrobacterota; Chitinivibrionia; Chitinivibrionales.